This 800-nucleotide ribosomal RNA is filed under the name uncultured bacterium. RNAcentral's name for it is "bacterial SSU rRNA". It matches the Rfam family "Bacterial small subunit ribosomal RNA", at positions 8 to 787 of the family's 1533-position model. The record is from RNAcentral.
AGAGUUUGAUCCUGGCUCAGAAUGAACGCUGGCGGCGUGCUUAACACAUGCAAGUCGUACGAGAAAGCCGAAUUUCGGUUUGGCGAGUAAAGUGGCGCACGGGUGAGUAACGCGUAGGUGACCUGCCCUUGUGUUCGGGAUAACAGAGCGAAAGUUCUGCUAAUACCGGAUACGAUCUCUCUUUCGGGGGAGAAGAAAGUCAGCCGCUCGAAGAAGCUGGCGCACGAGGAGGGGCCUGCGUCCUAUCAGCUAGUUGGUAGGGUAACGGCCUACCAAGGCGACGACGGGUAGCUGGUCUGAGAGGAUGAUCAGCCACACUGGCACUGGAACACGGGCCAGACUCCUACGGGAGGCAGCAGUGAGGAAUUUUGCGCAAUGGGAGCAAUCCUGACGCAGCAACGCCGCGUGGGUGAUGAAGGCCUUCGGGUCGUAAAGCCCUGUCAGGUGGGAAGAAUGUCCUGGGGAUGAAUAAGCUCUGGGAGUGACGGUACCACCGGAGGAAGCACCGGCUAACUCCGUGCCAGCAGCCGCGGUAAUACGGAGGGUGCGAGCGUUAUUCGGAAUUACUGGGCGUAAAGCGCGUGUAGGCGGGAAGGCAAGUCUGAUGUGAAAGCCCCGGGCUUAACCUGGGAAGUGCAUUGGAAACUGCAUUUCUUGAGUGCUGGAGAGGAAGGGGGAAUUCCCGGUGUAGAGGUGAAAUUCGUAGAGAUCGGGAGGAAUACCAGUGGCGAAGGCGCCCUUCUGGACGGCAACUGACGCUGAGACGCGAAAGCGUGGGGAGCAAACAGGAUUAGAUACCC